UGAUAGAUUUUGUAAUUUUACAUCCAGGAUCUUCAGGAGAAUUAAGCGAAACCCAAACUCCUUGUUCUUAACGAAGACCUUCUGUAUGGCCAAGAACAUGAGUCUGCUCCCUCAAGAAGAUGAUGUAGCCCUGCAGCUGCUGCCAGUUCUCCUUCCUGCUCCACCUUACUCAUUUGGGAGAAGAGUUUCAGACCCAUCAACCUGGAAGUUCAGAAGGUUGGGACAAACCUGGUGGCGCAUCUACAAAAUGCGACAAGCCGUAUGUCCUCAUGCAGGGAGACUGGCAAAAUGCUAAAGUGUCAUUAAAAAUGCUCCUUGUUUAA
This is a long non-coding RNA of Poecilia latipinna (sailfin molly), 323 nucleotides long. RefSeq lists it as uncharacterized. The record is from RefSeq and is a predicted model, not a curated record. NCBI's taxonomy places the organism in Eukaryota, Metazoa, Chordata, Actinopteri, Cyprinodontiformes, Poeciliidae. The transcript has 3 exons.